AAUAAUUUGACCAUGAAUCACUUAACAGCAUUUUUAGCUAAUGUUAGAAAAGGCCUUGAAAAUGCAUUAAAGGUAUACCCAGCGCAGAUCCACCAAAUUCACAUAAUUAAUAUGAGAAGUUUCAUGCAGCCGUUAUUUAAUAUCAUAAUAAGUCUUUUGAAUAAGAAAAUUUCCCAGAGGAUAUUUAAUCACAAAUCCAUCGAAGAUCUGAAAAACAACAUCGAUCCUAGUAUUCUUCCACUUAACUACGGAGGAACUUAUCCC
Long non-coding RNA from Adelges cooleyi (spruce gall adelgid), 264 nucleotides. RefSeq lists it as uncharacterized. The transcript has 3 exons. Lineage: Eukaryota; Metazoa; Arthropoda; Insecta; Hemiptera; Adelgidae. The record is from RefSeq and is a predicted model, not a curated record.